RNAcentral lists this ribosomal RNA (122 nucleotides) under Papilio glaucus (eastern tiger swallowtail). The record is from RNAcentral. Lineage: Eukaryota; Metazoa; Arthropoda; Insecta; Lepidoptera; Papilionidae.
GCCAACGUCCAUACCACGUUGAAUACACCGGUUCUCGUUCGAUCACCGAAGUUAAGCAACGUCGGGCGCGGUCAGUACUUGGAUGGGUGACCGCCUGGGAACACCGCGUGAUGUUGGCUUUU